RNAcentral lists this unclassified non-coding RNA (227 nucleotides) under uncultured fungus. Its description in RNAcentral is "sequence contains ITS1, 5.8S rRNA gene". The stretch from base 179 to 227 matches the Rfam family "5.8S ribosomal RNA", at positions 1 to 49 of the family's 154-position model. The record is from RNAcentral. Lineage: Eukaryota; Fungi.
UUUCCGUAGGUGAACCUGCGGAAGGAUCAUUACCGAGUUAGGGUCUAACCGCCCGACCUCCAACCCUUUGUGAAUCGUACUCGUUGCUUCGGGGGCGACCCUGCCGUUUCGACGGCGAGCGCCCCCGGAGGCCUUCAAACACUGCAUCUUUGCGUCGGAGUUUAAGUAAAUUAAACAAAACUUUCAACAACGGAUCUCUUGGUUCUGGCAUCGAUGAAGAACGCAGC